This 390-nucleotide ribosomal RNA is filed under the name uncultured bacterium. Its description in RNAcentral is "bacterial SSU rRNA". It matches the Rfam family "Bacterial small subunit ribosomal RNA", at positions 29 to 420 of the family's 1533-position model. The record is from RNAcentral.
AUUGAACGCUGGCGGCAUGCCUUACACAUGCAAGUCGAACGGCAGCACGGGAGCAAUCCUGGUGGCGAGUGGCGAACGGGUGAGUAAUAUAUCGGAACGUGCCCGGUCGUGGGGAUAACGUAGCGAAAGCUACGCUAAUACCGCAUACGAUCUACGGAUGAAAGCGGGGGAUCGCAAGACCUCGCGCGAUUGGAGCGGCCGAUAUCAGAUUAGGUAGUUGGUGAGGUAAAGGCUCACCAAGCCGACGAUCUGUAGCUGGUCUGAGAGGACGACCAGCCAUACUGGGACUGAGACACGGCCCAGACUCCUACGGGAGGCAGCAGUGGGGGAAUUUUGGACAAUGGGCGCAAGCCUGAUCCAGCAAUGCCGCGUGCAGGAUGAAGGCCUCGG